AGUGAACGCUGGCGGUAGGCCUAACACAUGCAAGUCGAACGGCAGCACAGUAAGAGCUUGCUCUUACGGGUGGCGAGUGGCGGACGGGUGAGGAAUACAUCGGAAUCUACUUUUUCGUGGGGGAUAACGUAGGGAAACUUACGCUAAUACCGCAUACGACCUACGGGUGAAAGCAGGGGAUCUUCGGACCUUGCGCGAUUGAAUGAGCCGAUGUCGGAUUAGCUAGUUGGCGGGGUAAAGGCCCACCAAGGCGACGAUCCGUAGCUGGUCUGAGAGGAUGAACACAGACACUGGACCUCACACAGGGUCGUCACUCCUACGGCAGGCAGCAGUGGGAAAUAUAGGACAAUGGGGGCAUGCCUGAUCCAGCAAUACCGCGUCGGUGAGGCAGGCCUUAGGGGUGUAUAGCCCGUUUGUUGGGAAAGAAGGGCAGCAGAAAAAUACCCCGCUGAUCUGACGGUACCCAAAGAAUAAGCACGAGCUAACUUCGUG
Molecule: ribosomal RNA, 492 nt
Filed under: uncultured bacterium
Lineage: Bacteria
Description: partial 16S ribosomal RNA
Rfam family: Bacterial small subunit ribosomal RNA
Source: RNAcentral